GAUGAACGCUGGCGGCGUGCCUAAUACAUGCAAGUCGAGCGAACAGACGAGGAGCUUGCUCCUUUGACGUUAGCGGCGGACGGGUGAGUAACACGUGGAUAACCUACCUAUAAGACUGGGAUAACUUCGGGAAACCGGAGCUAAUACCGGAUAAUAUAUUGAACCGCAUGGUUCAAUAGUGAAAGACGGUUUUGCUGUCACUUAUAGAUGGAUCCGCGCCGCAUUAGCUAGUUGGUAGGGUAACGGCUUACCAAGGCAACGAUGCGUAGCCGACCUGAGAGGGUGAUCGGCCACAGUGGAGCUGAGACACGGUCCAGACUCCUACGGGAGGCAGCAGUAGGGAAUCGUCCGCAAUGGGCGAAAGCUUGACGGAGCAACGCCGGGUGAGUGAUGAAGGUCUUCGGAUCGUAAAACUCUGUUAUUAGGGAAGAACAAAUGUGUAAGUAACUAUGCACGUCUGGACGGUACCUAAUCAGAAAGCCACGGCUAACUACGU
This 496-nucleotide ribosomal RNA is filed under the name uncultured bacterium. RNAcentral's name for it is "partial 16S ribosomal RNA". It matches the Rfam family "Bacterial small subunit ribosomal RNA", at positions 28 to 506 of the family's 1533-position model. The record is from RNAcentral.